ACACGCAUGACACACUGCAUAUCAAUAAGCGGAGGAAAAGAAACUAGCAAGGAUUCCCCUAGUAACGGCGAGUGAAGCGGGAAGAGCUCAAAUUUGAAAUCUUCAAGGUUUGACCUUGACGAAUUGUAGUUUAAAGAAGUGUUUUCUGUUAGAGGAGUAGGUAAAAGUUCUUUGGAAUAGGACAUCAUAGAGGGUGAGAAUCCCGUAUUUGACCUAUUCUUUCUAGCUGUGUGAUACACUUUCAAAGAGUCGGAUUGUUUGGGAAUGCAGUCCAAAAUAGGUGGUAAAUUUCAUCUAAAGCUAAAUAUUGGCGAGAGACCGAUAGCGAACAAGUACCGUGAGGGAAAGAUGAAAAGAACUUUGAAAAGAGAGUUAAACAGUACGUGAAAUUGUCAAAAGGGAAGCGUUUGACACCAGUGUUGUUUUCUCGAAAAUCAAUUAAAAAAGGCCGGAUUUUGUGUUGUAUUGACCUUAAAAGCUUUCUUCACUCUUUUCUUGUCUUUUUUAAUGCACUUUUCGUUUAACAAGUCAACAUCAGUUUCUUUUGUUGUAAAAGGGUCAUUGGAAGGUGGCUUUCUUUUCGGAGAAAGUGUUUAUAGCCUUUGAUCUCUGCAACCGGAGGGACUGAGGUCUGCAGCGUAGACUCUUCGGGGUUAGAUACAUUUGUGCUAAGCUAUAGCUUUUUAUAGACAACUUGUUGACUAUAUUUAGUCUUGUGGCUUACUCGCUUAUGCUAUUUUACCUACGCUUAGGAUGUUGAGCGCAUGUCUCUCUCU
RNAcentral lists this ribosomal RNA (776 nucleotides) under uncultured Neocallimastigales. RNAcentral's name for it is "partial large subunit ribosomal RNA". It matches the Rfam family "Eukaryotic large subunit ribosomal RNA", at positions 23 to 616 of the family's 3401-position model. The record is from RNAcentral. Lineage: Eukaryota; Fungi; Neocallimastigomycota; Neocallimastigomycetes; Neocallimastigales.